Molecule: ribosomal RNA, 253 nt
Filed under: uncultured bacterium
Lineage: Bacteria
Description: partial 16S ribosomal RNA
Rfam family: Bacterial small subunit ribosomal RNA
Source: RNAcentral
GACGAGCCUCACAAACGUUAUUCGGAAUUACUGGGCUUAAAGGGUGCGUAGGCGGCGCGGAAAGUUGGGUGUGAAAUCCCUCGGCUCAACCGAGGAACUGCGCCCAAAACUACCGUGCUCGAGGAAGAUAGAGGUGAGCGGAACUCACGGUGGAGCGGUGAAAUGCGUUGAUAUCGUGAGGAACACCCGUGGCGAAAGCGGCUCACUGGGUCUUUUCUGACGCUGAUGCACGAAAGCUAGGGGAGCGAACGGG